AUGGCACUAAUCCAACCUUUCACCUUCAAGGAGAUCACGAAUAACCUUAAAGAGAUGAGAGGGAACACGACCCCUGGCCCUGAUGGUUUUCCGGUAUUGUUCUAUAAGAAAUUUUGGAAUCUGGUGGGGCCACAAUUCGCCAACCUGGUCCAGGAGUUCACGCUUGGAAAAAUCGAUGUGAAAAGGUUAAAUUAUGGAGUUUUGGCUCUCCUCCCAAAGGUCCCGGGCGCCGACAACAUUAGACAAUUUCGCCCCAUUACCCUCAUUAAUGUGAGUUUCAGGCUCUUCGCGAAGGGGUUUGCAACACGCCUGGCACCGGUAGCGAAUAAAGUGGUGGACCCAUGUCAAACGACAUUAAUUCGAGGCCGUAGUAUACUAGAUGGGGUGGUAGUCUUAAAUGAAGUAUUGCAUGAGGUUCAUCGCACAAAGGAGGAAGUGUUCAUACUUAAAAUCGGUUUCGAGAAAGCUUACGAUAGAGUGAGGUGGGAUUUCCUAGAUGAGGUGUUGAAGGCUAAAGGCUUUGAUCCAUUGUGGAUUGAUAUGUCUCCAACGUAUCUAUAA
RNAcentral lists this ribosomal RNA (561 nucleotides) under Triticum aestivum (bread wheat). RNAcentral's name for it is "partial small subunit ribosomal RNA". Lineage: Eukaryota; Viridiplantae; Streptophyta; Magnoliopsida; Poales; Poaceae. The record is from RNAcentral.